Molecule: ribosomal RNA, 420 nt
Filed under: Fusobacteriota bacterium
Lineage: Bacteria; Fusobacteriati; Fusobacteriota
Description: Fusobacteria bacterium partial 16S ribosomal RNA
Rfam family: Bacterial small subunit ribosomal RNA
Source: RNAcentral
UGGGGGAUAUUGCACAAUGGGCGAAAGCCUGAUGCAGCGACGCCGCGUGGGGGAUGAAGGCCUUCGGGUUGUAAACUUCUUUUGCUCUGAACAAGGCAUGCCUUUGGGGUGUGUUGAGUGUAGGGGUUGAUUAGCGCCGGCUAACUACUUGCCAGCAGCCGCGGUAAUACGUAGGGCGCGAGCGUUGUCCGGAAUUAUUGGGCGUAAAGGGCUUGUAGGUGGCUGGUUGCGUCUGUCGUGAAAGCUCAUGGCUUAACUGUGGGUUUGCGGUGGGUACGGGCUGGCUUGAGGGCAGUAGGGGAGGCUGGAAUUCCUGGUGUAGCGGUGGAAUGCGCAGAUAUCAGGAGGAAUACCGGUGGCGAAGGCGGGUCUCUGGGCUGUUACUGACGCUGAGGAGCGAAAGCGUGGGGAGCGAACAGG